RNAcentral lists this ribosomal RNA (526 nucleotides) under uncultured bacterium. RNAcentral describes it as "bacterial SSU rRNA". It matches the Rfam family "Bacterial small subunit ribosomal RNA", at positions 355 to 872 of the family's 1533-position model. The record is from RNAcentral.
UAGGGAAUCUUCCACAAUGGACGAAAGUCUGAUGGAGCAACGCCGCGUGAACGAUGAAGGCUUUCGGGUCGUAAAGUUCUGUUGUAAGGGAAGAACAAGUGCCGCAGGCAAUGGCGGCACCUUGACGGUACCUUGCGAGAAAGCCACGGCUAACUACGUGCCAGCAGCCGCGGUAAUACGUAGGUGGCAAGCGUUGUCCGGAAUUAUUGGGCGUAAAGCGCGCGCAGGCGGCCUCUUAAGUCUGAUGUGAAAGCCCCCGGCUCAACCGGGGAGGGCCAUUGGAAACUGGGAGGCUUGAGUAUAGGAGAGAAGAGUGGAAUUCCACGUGUAGCGGUGAAAUGCGUAGAGAUGUGGAGGAACACCAGUGGCGAAGGCGACUCUUUGGCCUAUAACUGACGCUGAGGCGCGAAAGCGUGGGGAGCAAACAGGAUUAGAUACCCUGGUAGUCCACGCCGUAAACGAUGAGUGCUAGGUGUUGGAGGGUUUCCGCCCUUCAGUGCKGAAGCUAACGCAUUAAGCAYUCCGC